GGGCGGAAGCCUGAUGCAGCGACGCCGCGUGAGGGAUGACGGCCUUCGGGUUGUAAACCUCUUUCAGCAGGGACGAAGCGUAAGUGACGGUACCUGCAGAAGAAGCGCCGGCCAACUACGUGCCAGCAGCCGCGGUAAGACGUAGGGCGCGAGCGUUGUCCGGAUUUAUUGGGCGUAAAGAGCUCGUAGGCGGCUUGUCGCGUCGACUGUGAAAACCCGCAGCUCAACUGCGGGCCUGCAGUCGAUACGGGCAGGCUAGAGUUCGGUAGGGGAGACUGGAAUUCCUGGUGUAGCGGUGAAAUGCGCAGAUAUCAGGAGGAACACCGGUGGCGAAGGCGGGUCUCUGGGCCGAUACUGACGCUGAGGAGCGAAAGCGUGGGGAGCGAACAGGAUUAGAUACCCUGGUAGUCCACGCUGUAAACGUUGGGCGCUAGGUGUGGGGGGCCUCUCCGGUUCCCUGUGCCGCAGCUAACGCAUUAAGCGCCCCGCCUGGGGAGUACGGCCGCAAGGCUAAAACUCAAA
RNAcentral lists this ribosomal RNA (522 nucleotides) under Micromonospora terminaliae. RNAcentral describes it as "bacterial SSU rRNA". It matches the Rfam family "Bacterial small subunit ribosomal RNA", at positions 373 to 905 of the family's 1533-position model. Lineage: Bacteria; Bacillati; Actinomycetota; Actinomycetes; Micromonosporales; Micromonosporaceae. The record is from RNAcentral.